UACGUAGGGGGCAAGCGUUGUCCGGAAUCAUUGGGCGUAAAGAGCGUGUAGGCGGCCCGAUAAGUCCGCUGUGAAAGUCCAGGGCUCAACCCUGGGAUGCCGGUGGAUACUGUCGGGCUCGAGUCCGGAAGAGGAGUGUGGAAUUCCUGGUGUAGCGGUGAAAUGCGCAGAUAUCAGGAGGAACACCAAUGGCGAAGGCAGCACUCUGGGACGUGACUGACGCUGAGACGCGAAAGCGUGGGGAGCAAACCGG
RNAcentral lists this ribosomal RNA (253 nucleotides) under uncultured bacterium. Its description in RNAcentral is "partial 16S ribosomal RNA". It matches the Rfam family "Bacterial small subunit ribosomal RNA", at positions 524 to 776 of the family's 1533-position model. The record is from RNAcentral.